AAGUCGUAACAAGGUUUCCGUAGGUGAACCUGCGGAAGGAUCAUUAACACGUUAUCCACGUAUUAUCCACACCACACUGAACGAUGCUCCCUGUUAGAAGACUUCAAGGAUAUCGGUGCUUGACUAUUGUGGGCGAAUCGAGCUUCGGCUUGGUGCGCACGUCAUGCUUGCUGGUUAGGUCGACCCCGGUGCCGAGGGCGAAUCCGAGACACUUUCUUUCAGGCUUAUUGAUUCUCUUGUCCGGCGGCGAAAGCCGAUCCCAACCACCUUGAGCGACGAGACGACACCAUACCCCUUUCACCGUAUUUUACUAAUUUGACUGAUUAUACAUUCUUCGGGAGAAAUCCUGUUGAAUUUCUAAGAUUUAUCUUAACUAAGCACAACUCUUAGCAAUGGAUAUCUUGGUUCUC
RNAcentral lists this unclassified non-coding RNA (410 nucleotides) under fungal sp. RNAcentral describes it as "partial internal transcribed spacer region". The stretch from base 1 to 46 matches the Rfam family "Eukaryotic small subunit ribosomal RNA", at positions 1786 to 1831 of the family's 1831-position model. Lineage: Eukaryota; Fungi. The record is from RNAcentral.